GAUCAGGAAAACAGAAUCUCAAGUAAGUACACCUCUAGGUACUUAUUGGCCAUUCGAGAUUCCUUGGUUGAGAAUUCUUUGCUUAGCUCUGUACUUUCUCAAACUAUUUGAUUUUGUGGUCUUCCAAGGACAAGGUGCAAUGCUUUGUAAAGAUGGUGGCCUUAAAUAAAUAAUGAGCAAGUUUAAAAUAAAUUUUUAAAGAUAAGGAUUGAUGUAUAAAAAUGGCAGCUAUUACUUUAUUGUGAAUUAUAAUGUGGCUAAGGUAAAUGCUAUCUGUCUUCUUUUCUUAUUUUUUAGCUCUGGCCUAUUGUCUUAGGUGUUUGCCACCCACCAAGUUCCUGUGGGUGAGGGAGGGGUAAGCCAGUAGGUGGAAAAGAAUCCAGACAGAUGAAAGUUUUUUUUUCUUAUUAAAGAAUUAACUGUAAUUAUUAAUGUGUUUGAACAAAAUCAUAUAUUGCCCAAGGAAAGGUGAACAAUAUUACAGAUGUCAGGUUUUCUAUGUCUUGUUUUCUGAGAAUAGAAACGGAACUAGAAAGACCAGCUUUGGUCUUCAGAAAAUUGUUUUUAAAAACCAUCUUUUGUUGCUUUCGUUUAAACUAGUGGAUCUUAAGGCAGCUUCCAGCUUUCUGGAGGAAAGAACCUGAAAAGAACUGCACUUUGGUGGAAGUUCUCGGGCAAACCAUUCAUAAGUACUAGAGACAGCCACUGUUUUGCAGCCGAAUGAUGCAGGGGCCUAAUUCUAGCACCCAGCAGUAAAUUUAGCCUACUGGGACUACAGUUCCUAGAAGUUUUCAUACUGGAAGUAAGCCUUUCAUAGAACACAUAGCAUCCUCUUAGCCCAUCACUUAUAACUGUGAUUUUUCAAAAGAGCAUAAUAAAUUAGAAAUUAUUCAGUAGACAUCAGGGAAUUUCUGUGUCCUCUGUUUUUUUUUUUUCUUCCUUUUCAGUUUCAUUUCAUCAGUUCUAUGAAGGAAGGGACCGUAGACUGUCCAUGCAUCUUCUAUAGCUCUUUUAAGUGUUAGAUUAAAAAUUUAACUUACCCCUACCAAUUGAACGGAGAUAAACCAUUUUCUUGCACCUCCCUAAAGGACCCUUCCCUGUGUCAAUGCAACCUAUCACUGUUAGGUUCACAGGACUUCAUGUGAACUUAAUCUUUGAGUGGGGGAGUCUUUGGGGGAGGUAAAAGGAUACAGACUUGAAAAUCUGUUUGAGAUUUUCCAGUCUCAUGUUUGCUUUUUAUUAUCUGUGCUUUGUUUUCUUUCCUGAGUGUCAUUCAGUUUCUACAUUGGUAAGAUGGGAUUUCUAUUGAUUGAUUGACUGACUGACUGACUGACUGACUGAUUAAUUGAUUGAGAUAGGAUCUUGCUGGAUAAUUAGGCUGGACUCAGACUCAGCUUAACUGAGACUGCAGGUCUGUGCCACGAUGCUGGGUCCUAAGUUGGGUAUUUAAACAGAUGUAUGUAUUGAAUAGUCUGCUGGCUGGUAUGUAAGUGCACCUUGUGUGUGCCUGGUCCCCGCAGAGGCCAGAAGAGAGUGUCUGCUUCCCUGGAACUGGACUUACAGAUGGUUAUGAGCUGCCAUGUUGGUGCUGGGAGCUAAACCUAGAUCCUCUGCAAGAGGAGCCAGUGCUCUAAAUUGCUGAGUGUCUUUUCAGCUCUAAGAUGGGGAUCUAAUUUCUAUUCUGCAAGUUUGCUAUAAAGCUUGUUGAUAAGAAAUUGUGUACAGGGGUCAGGGAUGCAGUUUAGUUGGGAAAGUGCUUGCCCUGGGUUUGAAGCACUGUGUUAACAGGAUGUAGUAGGCUACACAUGUAAUCUUAACACUCAGGAGAUGGAGGCUAGUGAAUUGGGAGUUCAAGGUUACGCUUGGCCACAUCGAUAAUUUGAAGCCAGUCUGGACCUGUGU
This 1902-nucleotide long non-coding RNA is filed under the name Mus musculus (house mouse). RNAcentral's name for it is "long non-coding RNA chr1:55425050-55426952". Lineage: Eukaryota; Metazoa; Chordata; Mammalia; Rodentia; Muridae. The record is from RNAcentral.